AUCUGCUUCGGUUUGGACGGGAACGUACUCCGGUUGAGAUGGCAGGUUGCAAAGAAGCAUCCAGGUUACCUCGCUACGCUCGAAGCAGUCGGGCAAAGGGGCG
Molecule: long non-coding RNA, 103 nt
Organism: Dermacentor silvarum
Lineage: Eukaryota; Metazoa; Arthropoda; Arachnida; Ixodida; Ixodidae
Exons: 3
Source: RefSeq, a predicted model, not a curated record